Molecule: ribosomal RNA, 253 nt
Filed under: uncultured bacterium
Lineage: Bacteria
Description: partial 16S ribosomal RNA
Rfam family: Bacterial small subunit ribosomal RNA
Source: RNAcentral
GACGAACCGUGCGAACGUUGUUCGGAAUAACUGGGCUUAAAGGGCGCGUAGGUGGUCUGUCAAGUCGGUGGUGAAAUCUUUCGGCUCAACCGGAAAACUGCCGUCGAUACUGACAGGCUCGAGGGAGGUAGGGGUUGCGGGAACUACCAGUGGAGCGGUGAAAUGCGUUGAUAUUGGUAGGAACGCCGGUGGCGAAAGCGCGCAACUGGAUCUCUUCUGACACUGAGGCGCGAAAGCUAGGGGAGCAAACGGG